GGAGGCUAUAUACAGGGGUACCGGUACAGAGUCAAUGUGGAGGCUAUAUACAGGGGGUACCAGUACAGAGUCAAUGUGGAGGCUAUAUACAGGGGUACCAGUACAGAGUCAAUGUGGAGGCUAUAUACAGGGGGUACCGGUACAGAGUCAAUGUGGAGGCUAUAUACAGGGGGUACCAGUACAGAGUCAAUGUGGAGGCUAUAUACAGGGGGUACCAGUACAGAGUCAAUGUGGAGACUAUAUACAGGGGGUACCGGUACUGAGUCAAUGUGGAGGAUAUAUACAGGGGGUACCGGUACAGAGUCAAUGUGGAGGUUAUAUACAGGGGGUACAGGUACAGAGUCAAUGUGGAGGUUAUAUACAGGGGGUACCGGUACAGAGGCAAUGUGGAGGCUAUAUACAGGGGGUACCGGUACAGAGUCAAUGUGGAGGUUAUAUACAGGGGGUACAGGUACAGAGUCAAUGUGGAGGCUAUAUACAGGGGGUACCGGUACAGAGUCAAUGUGGAGGUUAUAUACAGGGGGUACCAGUACAGAGUCAAUGUGGAGGCUAUAUACAGGGGGUACCGGUACAGAGUCAAUGUGGAGGUUAUAUACAGGGGGUACCAGUACAGAGUCAAUGUGGAGGCUAUAUACAGGGGUACCGGUACAGAGUCAAUGUGGAGGUUAUAUACAGGGGGUACCGGUACAGAGUCAAUGUGGAGGAUAUAUACAGGGGGUACCGGUACAGAGUCAAUGUGGAGGAUAUAUACAGGGGGUACCGGUACAGAGUCAAUGUGGAGGAUAUAUACAGGGGGUACCAGUACAGAGUCAAUGUGGAGGUUAUAUACAGGGGGUACCGGUAUAGAGGCAAAGUGGAGGUUAUAUACAGGGGAUACCGGUAUAGAGGCAAUGUGGAGGAUAUAUACAGGGGGUACCAGUACAGAGUCAAUGUGGAGGUUAUAUACAGGGGGUACCGGUAUAGAGGCAAAGUGGAGGAUAUAUACAGGGGGUGCCGGUACAGAGGCAAUGUGGAGGAUAUAUACAGGGGGUACCGGUAUAGAGGCAAAGUGCGGGGGCACCAGUUAAUCGAGGUAAUAUGUACAUGUAGUUAGAGUUAUUAAAAUGACUAGCUGGUCAAAGAACUCAUCCUAGUAACAGGCC
Oncorhynchus tshawytscha (Chinook salmon) is the source of this 1142-nucleotide long non-coding RNA. The record is from Ensembl. NCBI's taxonomy places the organism in Eukaryota, Metazoa, Chordata, Actinopteri, Salmoniformes, Salmonidae.